RNAcentral lists this ribosomal RNA (497 nucleotides) under uncultured bacterium. RNAcentral's name for it is "partial 16S ribosomal RNA". It matches the Rfam family "Bacterial small subunit ribosomal RNA", at positions 28 to 507 of the family's 1533-position model. The record is from RNAcentral.
GAUGAACGCUGGCGGCGUGCCUAAUACAUGCAAGUCGAGCGAACAGACGAGGAGCUUGCUCCUCUGACGUUAGCGGCGGACGGGUGAGUAACACGUGGAUAACCUACCUAUAAGACUGGGAUAACUUCGGGAAACCGGAGCUAAUACCGGAUAAUAUAUUGAACCGCAUGGUUCAAUAGUGAAAGACGGUUUUGCUGUCACUUAUAGAUGGAUCCGCGCCGCAUUAGCUAGUUGGUAAGGUAACGGCUUACCAAGGCAACGAUGCGUAGCCGACCUGAGAGGGUGAUCGGCCACACUGGAACUGAGACACGGUCCAGACUCCUACGGGAGGCAGCAGUAGGGAAUCUUCCGUAAUGGGCGAAAGCCUGACGGAGCAACGCCGCGUGAGUGAUGAAGGUCUUCGGAUCGUAAAACUCUGUUAUCAGGGAAGAACAAAUGUGUAAGUAACUAUGCACGUCUUGACGGUACCUAAUCAGAAAGCCACGGCUAACUACGUG